GAAGGUGGCCUGUGAGGGUUGCUGGAGGUAUCAGAAGUGCGAAUGCUGACAUAAGUAACGAUAAAGCGGGUGAAAAGCCCGCUCGCCGGAAGACCAAGGGUUCCUGUCCAACGUUAAUCGGGGCAGGGUGAGUCGACCCCUAAGGCGAGGCCGAAAGGCGUAGUCGAUGGGAAACGGGUUAAUAUUCCCGUACUUGGUGUUACUGCGAAGGGGGGACGGAGAAGGCUAUGUUGGCCGGGCGACGGUUGUCCCGGUUUAAGCGUGUAGGUGUGUGUUCCAGGUAAAUCCGGUUCACUUUAACACUGAGGCGUGACGACGAGGCACUACGGUGCUGAAGCAACAAAUGCCCUGCUUCCAGGAAAAGCCUCUAAGCAUCAGGUAACAUCAAAUCGUACCCCAAACCGACACAGGUGGUCAGGUAGAGAAUACCAAGGCGCUUGAGAGAACUCGGGUGAAGGAACUAGGCAAAAUGGUGCCGUAACUUCGGGAGAAGGCACGCUGACACGUAGGUGAAGUGAUUUACUCAUGGAGCUGAAGUCAGUCGAAGAUACCAGCUGGCUGCAACUGUUUAUUAAAAACACAGCACUGUGCAAACACGAAAGUGGACGUAUACGGUGUGACGCCUGCCCGGUGCCGGAAGGUUAAUUGAUGGGGUCAGCGCAAGCGAAGCUCCUGAUCGAAGCCCCGGUAAACGGCGGCCGUAACUAUAACGGUCCUAAGGUAGCGAAAUUCCUUGUCGGGUAAGUUCCGACCUGCACGAAUGGCGUAAUGAUGGCCAGGCUGUCUCCACCCGAGACUCAGUGAAAUUGAACUCGCUGUGAAGAUGCAGUGUACCCGCGGCAAGACGGAAAGACCCCGUGAACCUUUACUAUAGCUUGACACUGAACAUUGAGCCUUGAUGUGUAGGAUAGGUGGGAGGCUUUGAAGUGUGGACGCCAGUCUGCAUGGAGCCGACCUUGAAAUACCACCCUUUAAUGUUUGAUGUUCUAACGUGGACCCGUAAUCCGGGUUGCGGACAGUGUCUGGUGGGUAGUUUGACUGGGGCGGUCUCCUCCUAAAGAGUAACGGAGGAGCACGAAGGUUGGCUAAUCCUGGUCGGACAUCAGGAGGUUAGUGCAAUGGCAUAAGCCAGCUUGACUGCGAGCGUGACGGCGCGAGCAGGUGCGAAAGCAGGUCAUAGUGAUCCGGUGGUUCUGAAUGGAAGGGCCAUCGCUCAACGGAUAAAAGGUACUCCGGGGAUAACAGGCUGAUACCGCCCAAGAGUUCAUAUCGACGGCGGUGUUUGGCACCUCGAUGUCGGCUCAUCACAUCCUGGGGCUGAAGUAGGUCCCAAGGGUAUGGCUGUUCGCCAUUUAAAGUGGUACGCGAGCUGGGUUUAGAACGUCGUGAGACAGUUCGGUCCCUAUCUGCCGUGGGCGCUGGAGAACUGAGGGGGGCUGCUCCUAGUACGAGAGGACCGGAGUGGACGCAUCACUGGUGUUCGGGUUGUCAUGCCAAUGGCACUGCCCGGUAGCUAAAUGCGGAAGAGAUAAGUGCUGAAAGCAUCUAAGCACGAAACUUGCCCCGAGAUGAGUUCUCCCUGAGACUUAGAGUCUCCUGAAGGAACGUUGAAGACGACGACGUUGAUAGGCCGGGUGUGUAAGCGCAGCGAUGCGUUGAGCUAACCGGUACUAAUGAACCGUGAGGCUUAACCUU
This 1695-nucleotide ribosomal RNA is filed under the name Salmonella enterica. RNAcentral describes it as "partial 23S ribosomal RNA". It matches the Rfam family "Bacterial large subunit ribosomal RNA", at positions 1252 to 2925 of the family's 2925-position model. RNAcentral also lists the same sequence under 22 other names. Lineage: Bacteria; Pseudomonadati; Pseudomonadota; Gammaproteobacteria; Enterobacterales; Enterobacteriaceae. The record is from RNAcentral.